This is an RNA transcript of Mangifera indica (mango), 668 nucleotides long. RefSeq lists it as uncharacterized. NCBI's taxonomy places the organism in Eukaryota, Viridiplantae, Streptophyta, Magnoliopsida, Sapindales, Anacardiaceae. The record is from RefSeq and is a predicted model, not a curated record. The transcript has 4 exons.
UUUUAUCAAGGAGAAAAAGAAAUAAUUACAGGGGCAGUGUACCGAACAAAUAAGAUUUUCUAUAUAAGUCUUUGUCUUUCAGAGCUCUUGCCAUCGGUAUUUGAUCUUUCUUUCGGGGUUUCCGUGUUUCUCGCAGCCGAGUUGAGCCUGGUUCCUAGGCUGAGAUAACGAAGAAGAAAAUGGGAGGAGGCAACGGCCAGAAGUCAAAGACGGCUCGUGAACGGAACAUGGAGAAGCAAAAGGCCGCCGCUAAAGGAAGUCAGCUUGAGUCGAAUAAGAAAGCCAUGACAAUCCAGUGCAAAGUGUGCAUGCAGACGUUCAUUUGCACCACAUCGGAGGUGAAAUGCAAGGAACAUGCUGAAGCCAAACACCCAAAAUCUGAUUUGUUCACAUGUUUCCCUCAUCUUAAGAAAUGAAACAAAAGAAACUAUAAACAAACCAAGCACAUCCCCACCUCUAUUAUCUUAAUCCUGGUUAGGUGUCAUCCUUGUAGACUGGUUACCUUUGUCAGCAUGCUAAAUUAAUCAAGGUCUAUGGACUCUGUUUAUAUAUAAUCGUUAAUUAAUCAAGGUCUAUGGACUCUGUUUAUAUAUAAUCGUUCCCUUGCACUGGUUACCUUUGUCAGCAGGCUAAAUUAAUUCGAUUGUGUGAUUUUUUGUUGGCAUUUA